Molecule: ribosomal RNA, 420 nt
Filed under: uncultured bacterium
Lineage: Bacteria
Description: bacterial SSU rRNA
Rfam family: Bacterial small subunit ribosomal RNA
Source: RNAcentral
GAGGAAUAUUGGUCAAUGGACGCAAGUCUGAACCAGCCAUGCCGCGUGCAGGAAUAAGGUCCUCUGGAUUGUAAACUGCUUUUAUACAGGAAUAAACCUCUCGACGUGUCGAGAGCUGAAGGUACUGUAGGAAUAAGCACCGGCUAACUCCGUGCCAGCAGCCGCGGUAAUACGGAGGGUGCAAGCGUUAUCCGGAAUUAUUGGGUUUAAAGGGUCCGCAGGCGGUCCUAUAAGUCAGGGGUGAAAUCCCACAGCUUAACUGUGGAAUUGCCUUUGAAACUGUAGGACUUGAAUUAAGUAGGCGUUGGCGGAAUAUGACAUGUAGCGGUGAAAUGCAUAGAUAUGUCAUGGAACACCGAAAGCGAAGGCAGCUAACGAUGCUUAUAUUGACGCUCAGGGACGAAAGCGUGGGUAGCAAAC